UACGGAGGGGGCUAGCGUUGUUCGGAAUUACUGGGCGUAAAGCGCGCGUAGGCGGCCAUGCGUGUCUUCCGUGAAAUCCCUCGGCUUAACUGAGGACGUGCGGAAGAAACUUCAAGGCUCGAGUCCGGGAGAGGGGGGUGGAAUUCCCAGUGUAGCGGUGAAAUGCGUAGAUAUUGGGAGGAACACCGGUGGCGAAGGCGGCCCCCUGGACCGGUACUGACGCUGAGGCGCGAAAGCGUGGGUAGCAAACGGG
This 253-nucleotide ribosomal RNA is filed under the name uncultured bacterium. RNAcentral describes it as "partial 16S ribosomal RNA". It matches the Rfam family "Bacterial small subunit ribosomal RNA", at positions 524 to 776 of the family's 1533-position model. The record is from RNAcentral.